Non-coding RNA from Parelaphostrongylus tenuis, 73 nucleotides. Lineage: Eukaryota; Metazoa; Nematoda; Chromadorea; Rhabditida; Metastrongylidae. The record is from the annotation of a GenBank genome assembly.
GCUUCGGUGGUAUAGUGGUAGAGCACGCGUCCCCGCAUAGGAUGAAAUGCUGGUUCAAUUUCCGCCUGAGGCC